This 253-nucleotide ribosomal RNA is filed under the name uncultured bacterium. RNAcentral describes it as "partial 16S ribosomal RNA". It matches the Rfam family "Bacterial small subunit ribosomal RNA", at positions 524 to 776 of the family's 1533-position model. The record is from RNAcentral.
UACGGAGGGUGCAAGCGUUGUUCGGAAUUAUUGGGCGUAAAGAGCUCGUAGGCGGUUUGUCGCGUCUGCUGUGAAAUCCCGAGGCUCAACCUCGGGCCUGCAGUGGGUACGGGCAGACUGGAGUGCGGUAGGGGAGAAUGGAAUUCCUGGUGUAGCGGUGAAAUGCGCAGAUAUCAGGAGGAACACCGGUGGCGAAGGCGGUUCUCUGGGCAUUACCUGACGCUGAGGAGCGAAAGUGUGGGGAGCGAACAGG